This is a long non-coding RNA of Telopea speciosissima, 247 nucleotides long. RefSeq lists it as uncharacterized. The transcript is spliced from 3 exons. The record is from RefSeq and is a predicted model, not a curated record. NCBI's taxonomy places the organism in Eukaryota, Viridiplantae, Streptophyta, Magnoliopsida, Proteales, Proteaceae.
CAAAGAAAGUGGACAUAUGCAUCUCAUUCAAAGCCACCUCACACCACCACAAGGGCAGGCAAGAGACAGAAUGAGAAUCAAGGAGCAAUAUCUUUCCAUCUGACUAGGUAAGCAACACAGGAACCUUGUCAUGCUGACCAAAGGCACAAACAGCCCAGGUCACAACCCACAAAGGUAUCUAUGCCUAGUGGUUCAAUGCACAAGCAAAGAGCCUACUAUCACAAGAAAACCCAUAGCCACUCACAUG